UGCGUAGGCGGAAAAUUAAGUCAGUGGUGAAAUCCUGCAGCUCAACUGUAGAACUGUCAUUGAUACUGAUUUUCUUGAAUACAGUUGAGGUAGGCGGAAUAUGUAAUGUAGCGGUGAAAUGCUUAGAUAUUACAUAGAACACCGAUUGCGAAGGCAGCUUACUAAACUGUGAUUGACGCUGAGGCACGAAAGCGUGGGGAGCGAACAGGAUUAGAUACCCUGGUAGUCC
Molecule: ribosomal RNA, 229 nt
Filed under: uncultured bacterium
Lineage: Bacteria
Description: partial 16S ribosomal RNA
Rfam family: Bacterial small subunit ribosomal RNA
Source: RNAcentral